This is an RNA transcript of Corticium candelabrum, 990 nucleotides long. RefSeq lists it as uncharacterized. The record is from RefSeq and is a predicted model, not a curated record. Lineage: Eukaryota; Metazoa; Porifera; Homoscleromorpha; Homosclerophorida; Plakinidae. The transcript has 3 exons.
GAGUGUGGAUGUAGUCGCCGAGUUGCAGAGGAUAGGGGACGAGGUGAAGAAGAUAGAGCAAUAGAUGGUGAACGUGAAGGAAAGUCAGGAGAAGCUUUAUGAGAUGAGAGGUUAGAUUAUUUAAAGGUGAUGUUAGGAGAAACUCAAGAAGCCAUACAACAGCAAGAAUCACAGGCACCAGAGCCAGUAGCAACAGAGGAAGCAACACAACAUGUGGAGAUAUCCUUACCACAGCAGAUAACAUUGCAAGAUGUGAUGGACAGCCUGGUGGGUCUUGAAGAGCAGCAGAGACUCAACCCAACGCCUGGAGUUGCAGCGCCUGUUUUUUGUCUUUGGGAUUGAAUAUUUGUUUCGUUGUCUUGCAGGUUGGUGAAGGUCAGACGACUUGUGCCAAGUGUCACAUGUUGUCACAAGCGGCAGGUAAUGACAUAAAAAGAAAGAUGGAAUUGGAGAGAGCUACAUGGUGUAUACAAGUAUAUUGACUUUUUUGUCACAAACUAUUUGUUUUGUGUCAGGCACAUCAGUGAGUGAGGAUGAAUGUUCUGUUUAUGUGUCUCGUGUUGUGCGUGCUGUCCAGCAUGUCUGCUCCAGCAGGUGGUAUGGCAUCGGUUCUGCUUGUGGCAAAACGUUUGAUCAACUCCAGCGACUCAAGUCCUUCCCAGACGACAGUGAUAAAGUGCAGGCUCUCUUUGAUCAGUUAGUACAGCAAAUGGGAAGGAAGGGAGCUGCAGACAAGCUGCUAGAGGCGUGUAACUCAAUGGUAAAUCCUACAUACGCUGCCGUGCGCGAAGAGAUGGAGAAAUGAAGUGUGGAGUAUUGACUGUUGGAUGACAUUUGAUAUCAAUACUGAUUGUUUAUUAGCUAUUAAUUAAUUAAAAUGUUGUUAUGUGUUGUUGUUGUGUUGGAUUGUUUGAUGUCUAUUAUAAUAUCUAGUAUUGUUCAUUUGUAUUGUUAUCAUGUAUGAAGCAGUCGUAUUGUUUGAAUAUUGUA